RNAcentral lists this ribosomal RNA (1161 nucleotides) under Leuconostoc carnosum. Its description in RNAcentral is "bacterial SSU rRNA". It matches the Rfam family "Bacterial small subunit ribosomal RNA", at positions 300 to 1454 of the family's 1533-position model. The record is from RNAcentral. Lineage: Bacteria; Bacillati; Bacillota; Bacilli; Lactobacillales; Lactobacillaceae.
CUGAUCGGCCACAUUGGGACUGAGACACGGCCCAAACUCCUACGGGAGGCUGCAGUAGGGAAUCUUCCACAAUGGGCGAAAGCCUGAUGGAGCAACGCCGCGUGUGUGAUGAAGGCUUUCGGGUCGUAAAGCACUGUUGUAUGGGAAGAAAAGUUAAGGUAGGGAAUGACCUUAGCCUGACGGUACCAUACCAGAAAGGGACGGCUAAAUACGUGCCAGCAGCCGCGGUAAUACGUAUGUCCCGAGCGUUAUCCGGAUUUAUUGGGCGUAAAGCGAGCGCAGACGGUUGGUUAAGUCUGAUGUGAAAGCCCGGAGCUCAACUCCGGAAAGGCAUUGGAAACUGGUUAACUUGAGUGCAGUAGAGGUAAGUGGAACUCCAUGUGUAGCGGUGGAAUGCGUAGAUAUAUGGAAGAACACCAGCGGCGAAGGCGGCUUACUGGACUGUAACUGACGUUGAGGCUCGAAAGUGUGGGUAGCAAACAGGAUUAGAUACCCUGGUAGUCCACACCGUAAACGAUGAACACUAGGUGUUAGGAGGUUUCCGCCUCUUAGUGCCGAAGCUAACGCAUUAAGUGUUCCGCCUGGGGAGUACGACCGCAAGGUUGAAACUCAAAGGAAUUGACGGGGACCCGCACAAGCGGUGGAGCAUGUGGUUUAAUUCGAAGCAACGCGAAGAACCUUACCAGGUCUUGACAUCCUUUGAAGCUUUUAGAAAUAGAAGUGUUCUCUUCGGAGACAAAGUGACAGGUGGUGCAUGGUCGUCGUCAGCUCGUGUCGUGAGAUGUUGGGUUAAGUCCCGCAACGAGCGCAACCCUUAUUGUUAGUUGCCAGCAUUCAGAUGGGCACUCUAGCGAGACUGCCGGUGACAAACCGGAGGAAGGCGGGGACGACGUCAGAUCAUCAUGCCCCUUAUGACCUGGGCUACACACGUGCUACAAUGGCGUAUACAACGAGUUGCCAACCUGCGAAGGUGAGCUAAUCUCUUAAAGUACGUCUCAGUUCGGACUGCAGUCUGCAACUCGACUGCACGAAGUCGGAAUCGCUAGUAAUCGCGGAUCAGCACGCCGCGGUGAAUACGUUCCCGGGUCUUGUACACACCGCCCGUCACACCAUGGAAGUUUGUAAUGCCCAAAGCCGGUGGCCUAACCGUAAGGAGGAACC